RNAcentral lists this ribosomal RNA (497 nucleotides) under uncultured bacterium. Its description in RNAcentral is "partial 16S ribosomal RNA". It matches the Rfam family "Bacterial small subunit ribosomal RNA", at positions 28 to 507 of the family's 1533-position model. The record is from RNAcentral.
GAUGAACGCUGGCGGCGUGCCUAAUACAUGCAAGUCGAGCGAACAGACGAGGAGCUUGCUCCUCUGACGUUAGCGGCGGACGGGUGAGUAACACGUGGAUAACCUACCUAUAAGACUGGGAUAACUUCGGGAAACCGGAGCUAAUACCGGAUAAUAUAUUUAACCUCAUGGUUCAAUAGUGAAAGACGGUUUUGCUGUCACUUAUAGAUAGAUCCGCGCCGCAUUAGCUAGUUGGUAAGGUAACGGCUUACCAAGGCAACGAUGCGUAGCCGACCUGAGAGGGUGAUGGGCCACACUGGAACUGAGACACGGUCCAGACUCCUACGGGAGGCAGCAGUAGGGAAUCUUCCGCACUGGGCGAAAGCUUGCAGGAGCAACGCCGCGUGAGUGAUGCAGGUCUUCGGAUCGUAAAACUCUGUUAUUAGGGAAGACCAAAUGUGUAAGUAACUAUGCACGUCUUGACGGUACCUAAUCAGAAAGCCACGGCUAACUACGUG